UUGUUUAAGGUACAACAGCAGCAUGGUUCAAAUGUUACUUGUAGUUCUCAGAAAAAUUAAAAAUUUUAAGUGAUGAAUACAGAAAAUGUAGGGACCACCUUUCAUUCUUUUGAGUACCACCGUUCUCUUGAAAAAAUAUUCUAACCUUCUAAAAUCCCAGAGUUAAGAACCAUUUCCAAACGGAAAAACAAAUCCAAGGCCACAACAUAACUUCUGAACAAGUGUGUACGCAUAUAUAUAUGUAUAUAGAUGUAUUAGGUUGGUGCAAAAGUAAUUGCAGGUUUUGCCAUAAAAGUCAUGGCAAAAACCACAAUUACUUAUGCACCAACCUAAUAUAUGUGUGAAACAGAGAAAAGGAUGUCAAACUACUUAAUUUAAUUUCUGUAAAAUAAACUUCUGAUGUUUGAAGCAAAUAUUUUGCUUGAUCAAAAUGUGUUCUUCUUCGGGUUGUUUGAUUCCCAGUCCAUGCAAAAAACAAAACCAAACAAAAAAAGAAACUGCAAAAGCCAGAAAGUGUUACUACGUGGGAAAUAAGGCUUCAAAUACCUAAAUGACUUUGAAAGUAGGUAUAAGGAAAAAUAAAAUAGGCCAAGCUUGGGCAGAAACUGUCCCCCAACCAGCCAUUGCUAUGGCGUGUCUUACAAAACGAUCCUUUUAUCCUUGGUCUCAAAAAAUCAGUACCAGAAAGACUCUCACCUCUGGCACAGGACAUAAAUUCCUGCUACAAAAAGAUAAUUAUACUUCAGCAAAUUAUGUUCUAAGCUUAGCAUUCUCCAGGCUUUAUAACGCAGAACUCAGGUUGAAGCUUUCUAUAAAACUCUAAAUGACACUGUUAUACAGCACCUUGUGCUUUGCCAAUUAAAAAAAAAAAGAAUCUAAAAUUAAAUAUUACAGAACUAAUGGAUAAUACAAUAGCAUACGUGUUAGAAUCCAAGUGCUAGCCUCUGGGAAUUUUUCAUUACAUUUAUUUUCUCCCAACUGUUCCUUUUUUUUUAAAAGUAUUUUUUUAGACAGUACAUAUACAUAAACUUAGGUAGGGAAAUCUGUUAAAUGUCUCUCUGGCACCUGAUACCUAAAGACCCUGUCUUGAAUUAAUUUAUAAAUUGUACCUAAUCCAUGUUCAAAUGAGAUUAACAGUAAAUUAUAGAAAAUUACUGAGUCUACAGGCUAAAAUUUUUUUCACAUCUUUUGUAAUCCACCUUAUUUUCACAGCUUGACUAACAAAUACAGGUAAGUUUGUCCUUCAUCAAAUAAUCCAAAAUAAUAACUGUAGGCCUGUCAUUCAUAAGAAACUAUAAUUUGUUAUAUUCUGACAUUGGCACUUAAUAAAAUGUUAACAACUAAAGUUUCUCCAAAAAUUCCAAUACAUUACAAUAAAGGAGAUAAACAAUUUAAGACUGUUUGAAUCUGUUACUGUGGAAUUCCAAUAAUUAUCAUUUUAUAUGCAUAAUUAAAUUCUUAAAAUUGUGGUCAUUUUCCAAAGACACCAAUCUAUAUUAUGACAAACUCAGAAGAGAACCUAUCUCCUUCAUAAGAAUGUUUUUUCCCCCAAGCUAAAAAUUUCCAACAUCCUAAACCCAAUUACUCUUAGUAAAUGUUUUGGUGACUCACACUACUGAAAAAAUCUGAAGCAGAGAGUCAAAAAGAAUGGAAAGGAUCUCAACCAAAGGUAACCGCACAUUCUUACACUCUGCUUAAGCAAACACUUAGAAAAGUCAAAGGGAUAAUGUUUUGAACAAAUAUAGAUUCAAGGUUAUGGUACAAUUCUGAUUAUAUUAAGGCUUUCACUAUCAUGAUCUCUUAAAAGUCUCUCCACUUUAGUGUUCUCCUUCUGAUUGAUAUGGUGAACUUAAGGGGUUAGUAAGGGCCUUGUUUUAGCUUCUCAGUGGGGAACCACUCUAUCAUCUCUGAAUGUUAAAGGUGAUCCCACAGAGCUCAAAGAGAAGAGGCAAUAUGGUAAGAAACAAUUUUAAAGUUUGCAAUACCAAGACAACAAU
This is a long non-coding RNA of Pongo abelii (Sumatran orangutan), 1997 nucleotides long. The record is from Ensembl. NCBI's taxonomy places the organism in Eukaryota, Metazoa, Chordata, Mammalia, Primates, Hominidae.